Ribosomal RNA from Chelydra serpentina (North American snapping turtle), 153 nucleotides. It matches the Rfam family "5.8S ribosomal RNA". Rfam says of the family: 5.8S ribosomal RNA (5.8S rRNA) is a component of the large subunit of the eukaryotic ribosome. It is transcribed by RNA polymerase I as part of the 45S precursor that also contains 18S and 28S rRNA. Functionally, it is thought that 5.8S rRNA may be involved in ribosome translocation. NCBI's taxonomy places the organism in Eukaryota, Metazoa, Chordata, Testudines, Chelydridae. The record is from Ensembl.
AACUCUUAGCGGUGGAUCACUCGGCUCGUGCGUCGAUGACGAACGCAGCUAGCUGCGAGAAUUAAUGUGAAUUGCAGGACACAUUGAUCAUCGACACUUCGAACGCACUUGCGGCCCCGGGUUCCUCCCGGGGCUCCGCCUGUCUGAGCGUCG